CCUACGGGCCGCAGCAGUGGGGAAUAUUGGACAAUGGGCGAAAGCCUGACGGAGCAAUGCCGCGUGGAGAUAGAAGGCCCACGGGUCGUGAACUUCUUUUCCCGGAGAAGAAGCAAUGACGGUAUCUGGGGAAUAAGCAUCGGCUAACUCUGUGCCAGCAGCCGCGGUAAUACAGAGGAUGCAAGCGUUAUCCGGAAUGAUUGGGCGUAAAGCGUCUGUAGGUGGCUUUUUAAGUCCACCGUCAAGUCCCAGGGCUCAACCCUGGACAGGCGGUGGAAACUACCAAGCUGGUGUACGGUAGGGGCAGAGGGAAUUUCCGGUGGAGCGGUGAAAUGCGUAGAGAUCGGAAAGAACACAACGGCGAAAGCACUCUGCUGGGCCGACACUGACACUGAGAGACGAAAGCUAGGGGAGCGAAUGGGAUUAGAUACCCCAGUAGUC
Molecule: ribosomal RNA, 441 nt
Filed under: uncultured bacterium
Lineage: Bacteria
Description: bacterial SSU rRNA
Rfam family: Bacterial small subunit ribosomal RNA
Source: RNAcentral